Molecule: long non-coding RNA, 1054 nt
Filed under: Phasianus colchicus (ring-necked pheasant)
Lineage: Eukaryota; Metazoa; Chordata; Aves; Galliformes; Phasianidae
Description: lncRNA (ENSPCLG00000000771.1)
Source: RNAcentral
UGCUUUGAGGAAGAUCUUGCUGAUAAACCUUGCCAUACAGGAAAACAACAUUUAGGUACCUAUUAGCAAGUGUGUGCUGCUCUCUCCCAAUUUGCUGUCAGUCCGGAACAGGUGGCCAAGAAAGGGCUCAUAGGAGUGCAAUAGGAAGUGCACGCAACUGAAUGUGCCUUCUGUCCCUCUAGGUGCAGUGCUCAUGUGCACUGCAUGGAUUGCACAGAUCAGGAAAAUCAAGGACAAGCCCCUUUGGAAGUCAUGCAGGCAGAGGACAGCACAGAUGGAGUAUUAGCAGCAACAUCUGCCCCUCUCGGUCUCCCCAACACAGAUGGAGUAGCAGGGGCAACCUCUGCCAUACUCGGUCUCUCCAAAGCUGAUGGAGCAGCAGUGGCAACUUCAACCCAGAUCAAUCACUUCAACGUGGGUGGAGUAGCAGAGGCAACUUCUGCCCUGCUUCAUCUCUCUCACACAGAUGAACUAGAAGUGGAAGUUUAUGCCUCAUUCGAUAACACCUACACAGAUGGAAUAGCAGUGGCAUCUUCUGCACAGACCAAUCUCUCCAAUAGAGAUGAAGAAGCAGUAGCAACUUCUGCACUGAUCAACCUCUCCAACACAGAUGGAAUAGCAACGACAAUUACUGCCCUACUCCAUCCCUCCAACACAGAUGGAGUAACAUGGGCAACUUCUGCCCCAUGCGAUCUCUCCAACACAGAUGGAGUACCAGGGACAACUUCUGCCCUGCUCAGUCACUCCAACACAGAUGGAGUAGCAGCAGCAACUUCUACCCUGCUCAAUCUCUCCAACAUAGAUGCAGAAGCAGUGGCAAAUUCUGGCCCGUUCUGUCCUCCAACACAGCUGGAGAAGCAGUGGCAACCUCUGCCCCAUUGAUCUGACCGAAACCUUUGAAAGUCACUCAAGCUCAGCAAAUGAUGUGCAGGGAUUUAAGAGACAACUUGAGCAACGGUCCUCCUGGGUAGAAAACCCCUUCUGGUUGCCACACUUUUCUUCUUUGUAGAACUGCAUAAUCUUUGCUUCUCAAUAAAGUUCCUCCAUCUCACCA